GAUGAACGCUGGCGGCGUGCCUAAUACAUGCAAGUCGAGCGAACGGACGAGAAGCUUGCUUCUCUGAUGUUAGCGGCGGACGGGUGAGUAACACGUGGAUAACCUACCUAUAAGACUGGGAUAACUUCGGGAAACCGGAGCUAAUACCGGAUAAUAUUUUGAACCGCAUGGUUCAAAAGUGAAAGACGGUCUUGCUGUCACUUAUAGAUGGAUCCGCGCUGCAUUAGCUAGUUGGUAAGGUAACGGCUUACCAAGGCAACGAUGCAUAGCCGACCUGAGAGGGUGAUCGGCAACACUGGAACUGGGACACGGUCCAGACUCCUACGGGAGGCAGCAGAAGGGAAUCUUCCGCAAUGGGCGAAAGCCUGACGGAGCAACGCCGCGUGAGUGAUGAAGGUCUUCGGAUCGUAAAACCCUGUUAUUGGGGAAGAACAUAUGUGUAAGGAACUGUGCACAUCGUGACGGUACCUAAUCAGAAAGCCACGGCUAACUACGUG
This 497-nucleotide ribosomal RNA is filed under the name uncultured bacterium. Its description in RNAcentral is "partial 16S ribosomal RNA". It matches the Rfam family "Bacterial small subunit ribosomal RNA", at positions 28 to 507 of the family's 1533-position model. The record is from RNAcentral.